GUGGUUUUUAAGAACCUGCCGGCAAGAGUUUGCCUUGCCGUCAGCCUGGUCUACUGUAUCCCAGCAUCCUCUGCUGUUGCAGACGGUGCGAGUACACUUAAGGAGCUCACAGAAUCCCAGUAGCACAAAAUUGGGCUUUGGCAAAUCAUGUAUUUUGUGUAUAGAGGGAAUCUAAGGAGAGGAAUUGCUUAUUUUCAUAUUGUAUUUUAACUGUUUCUCUGAUCAAAAUUUUUUUACUUCCUCCUCCUGUUCCUCCCCGCCCCCACGCCCACCUCCCGCUUCAGUCUCUGGAGUUCAAUGUCUUCUCUGUCCAAUCAUCUGUUUAUUUCUCCUUCCCCUACCCACGCUCCCUAUCUGUGGUCAUAAAUACUGCAUUAUUCAUCCUUUCAAACUGUGUAUUUUCUUACAAUAAAAAAUGAUGAAGAGAAAAAGGCUUCACUCCUUUUGCAUGCACUUAAAAAAAAAACUUAAAAAAGAAAACAUUUUUCAGGUUCCGAGGAAGAGCAUGAUUAACUGUCAGGGCUUUUAAUUAUAUUUGUAAAUAAAAGUGUUCGUCACAUC
This 561-nucleotide long non-coding RNA is filed under the name Rattus norvegicus (Norway rat). Its description in RNAcentral is "long non-coding RNA NONRATT008038". The record is from RNAcentral. Lineage: Eukaryota; Metazoa; Chordata; Mammalia; Rodentia; Muridae.